This 712-nucleotide long non-coding RNA is filed under the name Brassica napus (rape). RNAcentral's name for it is "long non-coding RNA (BNAP_LNC017472)". Lineage: Eukaryota; Viridiplantae; Streptophyta; Magnoliopsida; Brassicales; Brassicaceae. The record is from RNAcentral.
UCUUUUGUAUUCAAAGAAAAAUUCAAACUCUUUACAUAUGUAUAACGACUUGUGUAAACAAAAAGCCUGUAACUAAGCCUGUAAUUCAAAGCCUGUAUACGAAUUAAUCAAGUGUCCUUUUUUUUAUACUUUUGAGAACUUAGUAUACACAGAUCUUUACAUACUUUGUAAAGUCAAAAACGGAAAAAAGAAAAGAAAGAAUUAGUGUUCAAAACUAAAAGAGAAGAACAAUGUGUUCAUUAGUGUCCAGGUCCUCUCUUGCUCGGCCCAGACGCUAAUCGGAAAGUCAAGCUCCUCAUCAAACGAAUCCUCGAGCUGUUCGCGGCAACAGUAGGCGAGAUCAAGUUAAAGGCACCGCCGUCUACGGCGGCCAAUCGAUUACAGCCGUUAGUCUGCUCUUUUCGUAGGGCUCGGCAAUCAACUCCCGAAAUAAUCGAGGACAUCUCCACUGAAAAGAUGAUGAAUAACACAAUCAGAAUCUUUUUCUCCAUAUUGAUCUUUUACUUCACUUCAGAAUCUUUUUCUCUAAGAAUGUUGGCUUUGUGAAACGAGUUGUUGUGUUAUGAGAUGAAGGGCUAGUGUGUAUGUAUUUAUAGUUGUGUACGUGUAGCAAAGGGCAUUUACUGACCAGGAAUUAGAUAAUAGACUAAUUGCAUUUGGACUAAUUAGUAUAUAUAGUAUAAGUAUUCUUUAUGGGCAUUGAAUAUUUCAG